This is a non-coding RNA of Brassica napus (rape), 149 nucleotides long. The record is from Rfam. NCBI's taxonomy places the organism in Eukaryota, Viridiplantae, Streptophyta, Magnoliopsida, Brassicales, Brassicaceae.
GGAAUAUAAGAAACAGUCUUUUAACUUUUAACUAAAAAAACUAAGAACCGGUUCUUAAAUAUUCCGCUAAGAGCAUGAUUAAUGGAGGUUCUUAGGAGCCGGUUCUUAGUUUUUUUAGUUAAAAGUUAAGAGAUGGUUUCUUAUAUUCC